RNAcentral lists this ribosomal RNA (253 nucleotides) under uncultured bacterium. Its description in RNAcentral is "partial 16S ribosomal RNA". It matches the Rfam family "Bacterial small subunit ribosomal RNA", at positions 524 to 776 of the family's 1533-position model. The record is from RNAcentral.
UACGUAGGGUGCGAGCGUUGUCCGGAUUUAUUGGGCGUAAAGAGCUCGUAGGCGGCUUGUCGCGUCGAAUGUGAAAUCUCAGGGCUCAACUCUGACAUUGCAUUCGAUACGGGCAGGCUAGAGUUCGGUAGGGGAGACUGGAAUUCCUGGUGUAGCGGUGAAAUGCGCAGAUAUCAGGAGGAACACCGAUGGCGAAGGCAGGUCUCUGGGCCGAUACUGACGCUGAGGAGCGAAAGCGUGGGGAGCGAACAGG